RNAcentral lists this long non-coding RNA (773 nucleotides) under Heterocephalus glaber (naked mole-rat). RNAcentral describes it as "lncRNA (ENSHGLG00100030662.2)". Lineage: Eukaryota; Metazoa; Chordata; Mammalia; Rodentia; Bathyergidae. The record is from RNAcentral.
CUGGCCAUCUUACAUGGAGUGAGUCUGCCAAGAACAAGGCUAAGAAGCAAAUGAUGUCAUGAAAUGCAGAAAUAGAAUACUGACAAUAUUGUUUUUAAAACCUUGGAUUUUCAAUUAUGAUUACACAGAGUGUCUGUGGUGCUACUGGUUAAAGACACAGGUGAUACCAACUGCAAAGCCCAACUUCUCACUUAAAGGAACUGCUUUAUGGCCUCCUUACUUCACUUCAGGAUUGGUCUGCAAAGUGUUGCCUGAGCUGAAGACUGGAUUGCAAACAACCCUUCAGACAAGGGGAAGAUGCCCAAUUCUAACCAUGAAGGGUGGGCCUUCAUGGGAGCCUGGUAUUAGUGUCCUUCCUCAGAGAGCCUAUCACAGUGAGGUGUGAACUCUGGCCUCAUAUUUAGAGAAAAGAGACACCUGGAAGAUCUCUCAUUAACAACUGAACCUCAACCUGGAAAUGACAUAGAUUAUAUCUGCUCACACAACUCACUGUUUAAACCCAGUCAUGGCCAACCAGAGAGGAAUCAGGGAGUAUAAGCCUACUGUGAAUCUGGGAGAAGAGCUGGAAAUAUUCUAUUUGGACUGUCUGAAGGCAUACACUGUGUUUGCAAUAUUUUCAUCUGGUGUCGCACCUGGUCCUGCUCCCUAAAGUAAGCUGGACUAGAGGACAAUCAGAAUGACAGAGGCUGUCUGGGGCUUAAUCAUCCUUCUUGCUAACACUGACCUUAAACCACAGUCAAACUUCUAAACCUCAUCUUCCUUUUUCCACUGGG